AGAAUAUUAUUAUGAUGAUAUCAAUAUAUGUUUUUUGUAUUUGCAUAUACAAAUGGAUUUGGAUAUCAUUUAUAUUUUAAUAACGAAACCACAACAUCCACAAACGUAUUAGAGUUUGGAUUUUAAAAACAAACCUCGAAUAAAUGAUGGGAUUUGUAAGAAAAUUAUUACUGUAGGGUUUUGGGCUGGUUUGGAUGGAAAAUCCCGUUCCAAAGUUAGGGGACACCUUCCACCCAUAUAAAUAAAUCCCAAUUUUACACAUCUGGCCUGAAUUAAAAUUGCUUUAUUUCGGGGUGGAAGUGACUCCAGACCGGAAUAAAAUCAUAGAAAAAAAAUUCAAAAGCUUUCGCUGCCAUAUGUUUGGAGCGGAGCUGCCGUCCCAAAUGCCAAGACGUGUUGAAGGCUAGCUGGGUGUUUAGGGACGAUUGUCCCAUAUUUCCAGCUUUCCCGAGUUGCAUUGUUGUCGAAAGUUCUGCUGUGGGUUGGAAAAAUAUGUGCUGGAGCUGGGUAAAAAUAUCCCAUAAAAUUACCAUAUUGCAAAGGACAACAAUCGCCGAGCUCGGAUGCUUGGGGAAGGAGCGGCGGGCUCGGGCUGUAAACAGGAUGUGCUGGGCCCCAGGCACGGGGGGAGCUCGGCGGGACAAAUCCCGGGCUCCAGGGACAAAUCCUGGGAUAAAGGGACGAAUUCUGGGAUAAAGGGACAAAUUCUGGGCUAAAGGGGCAAAUUCUGGGCUAAAGGGACAAAUUCUGAGCUCCAGGGACAAAUUCUGGGCUAGAGGGACAAAUCCUGGGCUAAAGGGACAAAUCCCGGGCUCGAGGGACAAAUUCUGGGCUCAGGCCUCGGUGCAACUCCCUCAGAGCACCGAGGGACAAAUCCCGGUCUCGGGGCUGGAGCAGCUCCCUCAGAGCACCGAGGGACAAAUCCUGGGCUCGAGGGACAAAUCCUGGGCCCGGGACUCGGUGCAGCUCCCUCAGAGCACCGAGGGACAAACCCCGGGCUCGAGGUUCAAAUCCCGGGCUCGAGGGACAAAUUCUGGGCUCGGGCCUCGGUGCAGCUCCCUCAGAGCACCGAGGGACAAAUCCCGGGCUAAAGGGACAAAUCCCGGGCUUCAGGGACAAAUGCCGGGCCCGGGGCU
This 1136-nucleotide long non-coding RNA is filed under the name Zonotrichia albicollis (white-throated sparrow). Its description in RNAcentral is "lncRNA (ENSZALG00000008822.1)". The record is from RNAcentral. Lineage: Eukaryota; Metazoa; Chordata; Aves; Passeriformes; Passerellidae.